This 406-nucleotide ribosomal RNA is filed under the name uncultured bacterium. Its description in RNAcentral is "partial 16S ribosomal RNA". It matches the Rfam family "Bacterial small subunit ribosomal RNA", at positions 28 to 526 of the family's 1533-position model. The record is from RNAcentral.
GACGAACGCUGGCGGCAGGCCUAACACAUGCAAGUCGAACGAGUGGCGGACGGGUGCGUACUGUCUGGGAAACUGCCUGAUGGCGGGGGAUACCUACUGGAAAAGGUAGCUAAUACCGCAUACCAUCAGCUGUCCCCCGAGGGGAUUAGCUCGAAGGUGGGGUAACGGCUCACCUAGGCGACGAUCCCUAGCUGGUCUGCGAGGAUGACCAGCCACACUGGAACUGAGACACGGUCCAGACUCCGACGGGAGGCAGCAGUGGGGAAUAUUGCGCAAUGGGCGCAAGCCUGAUGCAGCCAUGCCGCGUGAGUGAAGAAGGCCUUCGGGUUGUAAAUUGCUUUCAGCGGGGAGGCGUUACCCGCAGAAGAAGCACCGGCUAACUCCGUGCCAGCAGCCGCGGUAAUUC